This 204-nucleotide long non-coding RNA is filed under the name Musa acuminata (dwarf banana). RNAcentral's name for it is "long non-coding RNA (MACU_LNC008955)". The record is from RNAcentral. Lineage: Eukaryota; Viridiplantae; Streptophyta; Magnoliopsida; Zingiberales; Musaceae.
GUGCCUCUUGCGCGAAGGGUUGGCCAUUCCUCUGAAUGCCAAUGUCAGAUGCCCGCUCCUCCGAGCGACUCCUUUUCCCUACAUCUCCAUGCCUGUUUUCUCCCAAACGGUCGCGCGUGUGCUGACUGCCCUCAACGCAGCCCCGCUAGGUCCCCCACGUUUGCAUGCUAAGUGUUUCUAUAAGUGCUUGUCCCGCUCUGAUAC